Carassius carassius (crucian carp) is the source of this 912-nucleotide long non-coding RNA. RefSeq lists it as uncharacterized. NCBI's taxonomy places the organism in Eukaryota, Metazoa, Chordata, Actinopteri, Cypriniformes, Cyprinidae. The record is from RefSeq and is a predicted model, not a curated record. The transcript is spliced from 3 exons.
GAUCGGCUGCGGCUGGAUGCAACCGAUCGGCGAGAGUAGCCGCGUGCAGGUGGGGAGGAGCUGCAAAAUGGAGAUAUGAAGCCGGACACGUUGUGGCUCCCGUAGUUUGCUGCAAUUACGUCAGUCAUGGCAGAUCACGUGGCGUUUGCUUACUUGAUCGCAGACGAGCUGGAAGCAAUAGAAAAUCCAUUAUUUUUGCAAUACAUUGAGCACGAUGAGCAACGAAGAAUGAUUCCAAAAAUAGACAAUUUUGUGGAGGAUGUUGUCCCUCUCUACAGUCUCUCAGAAUUUAGAAGUCAUUUCAGGCUUUCCAGAGAACAAGUGGAGGUUUAUACUGGACUGUUUAAUAUAAAAUUCAUUGAACUAUUACAAGUGUUAGCAUGUUGUCUUGAUUACCUAUUUUUCUACCUUUGCAAGAUGUCAUCACUACCCUUGGUCCUGUGUAUAUGAAUUUACAACAGACCAAACUGCCACUCACAAACCGUGUUCUUGCCUGCCUUUGGACAUUGCUCCUCCACAAUUGUUCCCAAGCUGGUCACCAUCUUUUUUUCGAAGGACCUUCUCUGCCUCUCCUUAAGUCGCCGCCAUCUCUCCAGAUCUGGCCUUACCAGAGACUCAAGCACAGCAGUCCUUCUCUCUGCAUGCUCUUCAUAAGCGUCCAGGAAUUGUAAGGGUUGUGGUCGUCUUUGCCUUCUUGUGAUGUUUGCAUUUUGUAUGGUAGCAGUUGCUAGCUGUUCAUACAUACUAGCACCUACCGGCUGGUCUUGAAGAGAAGACGUUGUGGGCCUGCUUGUGGAAGAGGUCUCUUCCAAACCCAGAGGUGUGGAGUGAAUGGUGCCAGGUGGUGCAGUACCGAUCCCCGAUGACCCAAAUAACUCAUCCAUUAGCUGGUGGGGGUGGAUGUAAAAUGAA